UACGGAGGGUGCAAGCGUUAUCCGGAUUCACUGGGUUUAAAGGGUGCGUAGGUGGGCAGGUAAGUCAGUGGUGAAAUCUCCGGGCUUAACCCGGAAACUGCCGUUGAUACUAUCUGUCUUGAAUGUAGUGGAGGUGAGCGGAAUAUGUCAUGUAGCGGUGAAAUGCUUAGAUAUGACAUAGAACACCAAUUGCGAAGGCAGCUCGCUAGACUAUUAUUGACACUGAGGCACGAAAGCGUGGGGAUCAAACAGG
This 253-nucleotide ribosomal RNA is filed under the name uncultured bacterium. RNAcentral's name for it is "partial 16S ribosomal RNA". It matches the Rfam family "Bacterial small subunit ribosomal RNA", at positions 524 to 776 of the family's 1533-position model. The record is from RNAcentral.